This 253-nucleotide ribosomal RNA is filed under the name uncultured bacterium. RNAcentral's name for it is "partial 16S ribosomal RNA". It matches the Rfam family "Bacterial small subunit ribosomal RNA", at positions 524 to 776 of the family's 1533-position model. The record is from RNAcentral.
UACGUAGGGGGCAAGCGUUGUCCGGAAUCAUUGGGCGUAAAGAGCGUGUAGGCGGCUCGGUAAGUCCGCUGUGAAAGUCCAGGGCUCAACCCUGGAAUGCCGGUGGAAACUGUCGAGCUAGAGUCCGGAAGAGGCGAGUGGAAUUCCUGGUGUAGCGGUGAAAUGCGUAGAUAUCAGGAGGAACACCUGUGGCGAAAGCGGCGCACUGGACCACAACUGACGCUGAGGCGCGAAAGCUAGGGGAGCAAACAGG